This 332-nucleotide ribosomal RNA is filed under the name uncultured bacterium. Its description in RNAcentral is "bacterial SSU rRNA". It matches the Rfam family "Bacterial small subunit ribosomal RNA", at positions 340 to 686 of the family's 1533-position model. The record is from RNAcentral.
UACGGGAGGCAGCAGUGGGGAAUUUUCCGCAAUGGGGGCAACCCUGACGGAGCAAUACCGCGUGAGGGAGGAAGGCCUUUGGGUUGUAAACCUCUUUUGUCAGGGAAGAACACUGACGGUACCUGACGAAUCANCCUCGGCUAACUCCGUGCCAGCAGCCGCGGUAAGACGGAGGAGGCAAGCCGUUAUCCGGAAUCAUUGGGCGUAAAGCGUCCGCAGGUGGCCUAUUCAAGUCUGCUGUUAAAGCCCAGGGCUCAACCCUGGANAAGCAGUGGAAACNGGGGAGCUAGAGUGUGGUAGGGGCAGAGGGAAUUCCCGGUGUACCNNUNAAA